RNAcentral lists this ribosomal RNA (890 nucleotides) under Kitasatospora sp. H4R20_pA. Its description in RNAcentral is "bacterial SSU rRNA". It matches the Rfam family "Bacterial small subunit ribosomal RNA", at positions 8 to 916 of the family's 1533-position model. Lineage: Bacteria; Bacillati; Actinomycetota; Actinomycetes; Kitasatosporales; Streptomycetaceae. The record is from RNAcentral.
AGAGUUUGAUCCUGGCUCAGGACGAACGCUGGCGGCGUGCUUAACACAUGCAGUCGAACGAUGAAGCCUUCGGGUGGAUUAGUGGCGAACGGGUGAGUAACACGUGGGAAAUCUGCCCUGAACUCUGGGACAAGCCUUGGAAACGAGGUCUAAUACCGGAUAUGACCGUGGAGCGCAUGCUCUGUGGUGGAAAGCUCCGGCGGUUCAGGAUGAUCCCGCGGCCUAUCAGCUUGUUGGUGGGGUAAUGGCCUACCAAGGCGACGACGGGUAGCCGGCCUGAGAGGGCGACCGGCCACACUGGGACUGAGACACGGCCCAGACUCCUACGGGAGGCAGCAGUGGGGAAUAUUGCACAAUGGGCGAAAGCCUGAUGCAGCGACGCCGCGUGAGGGAUGACGGCCUUCGGGUUGUAAACCUCUUUCAGCAGGGAAGAAGCGCAAGUGACGGUACCUGCAGAAGAAGCACCGGCUAACUACGUGCCAGCAGCCGCGGUAAUACGUAGGGUGCGAGCGUUGUCCGGAAUUAUUGGGCGUAAAGAGCUCGUAGGCGGCCUGUCGCGUCGGAUGUGAAAGCCCGGGGCUUAACCCCGGGUCUGCAUUCGAUACGGGCAGGCUAGAGUGUGGUAGGGGAGAUCGGAAUUCCUGGUGUAGCGGUGAAAUGCGCAGAUAUCAGGAGGAACACCGGUGGCGAAGGCGGAUCUCUGGGCCAUUACUGACGCUGAGGAGCGAAAGCGUGGGGAGCGAACAGGAUUAGAUACCCUGGUAGUCCACGCCGUAAACGUUGGGAACUAGGUGUUGGCGACAUUCCACGUCGUCGGUGCCGCAGCUAACGCAUUAAGUUCCCCGCCUGGGGAGUACGGCCGCAAGGCUAAAACUCAAAGGAAUUGACGG